AAACCUGAGAUAAUACAGAAUAUCACAGUAUGAAAACACUGAAGACCAGUUUAAUGAGAAGCCAAACUGCCCAGCAGGUGGUGAUGCUGAAUAUGGAAAUAUUCCUUUGAACACUAAAUUGGGUACAUGUUAACCAAGACCAAAAAUGUACAGUCAGUUAAAAAAAAGUGCAUUCAGUCACUUAUUCAAGAAUUAAACACAAUGAGGUUUUUGUCCUCGGUGUUGGUAAAACUAUAUCUGAUGUAGUCUGCUGUAAUUGCUCUCAGGGU
This is a long non-coding RNA of Sphaeramia orbicularis (orbiculate cardinalfish), 269 nucleotides long. RefSeq lists it as uncharacterized. The transcript is spliced from 3 exons. The record is from RefSeq and is a predicted model, not a curated record. NCBI's taxonomy places the organism in Eukaryota, Metazoa, Chordata, Actinopteri, Kurtiformes, Apogonidae.